This 497-nucleotide ribosomal RNA is filed under the name uncultured eukaryote. RNAcentral's name for it is "SSU rRNA". It matches the Rfam family "Eukaryotic small subunit ribosomal RNA", at positions 617 to 1125 of the family's 1831-position model. The record is from RNAcentral.
AGUUAAAAAGCUCGUAGUUGGAUUUCUGUGAGAGUAUGAUGUCCUAACGUGUGUAGAGCGCAGAAAACUCUUGCAUGCCUUCUGUUACCUCCACGUGGCAUUCGCUUGCCAGUGGUUGGCUCAGAGAAUUUACCUUGAGAAAAUUAGAGUGUUUCAGGCAGGCUUAGUCGGAAUACAUUAGCAUGGAAUAAUAGAAUAGGACUCCGGUCUCGUCGUUGGUUUGAGGGACUGUAGUAAUGAUUAAUAGGGAUAGUUGGGGGCAUUAGUAUUCGGUUGUCAGAGGUGAAAUUCUCAGAUUUAUUGAAGACUAACUUAUGCGAAAGCAUUUGCCAAGGAUGUUUUCAUUAAUCAAGAACGAAAGUUAGGGGAUCAAAGACGAUCAGAUACCGUCCUAGUCUUAACCAUAAACUAUGCCGACUCGGGAUUGGGGGCGUGUUAUUAUCCGCCUUCAGCACCGUAUGAGAAAAUCAAAGUCUUUGGGUUUCUGGGGGGAGAUA